Molecule: ribosomal RNA, 110 nt
Filed under: uncultured bacterium
Lineage: Bacteria
Description: partial 16S ribosomal RNA
Source: RNAcentral
CCCGGACCUUGUACACACCGCCCGUCAAGCCAUGGAAGCCGGGUGUACCUGAAGGUGAUAACCGUAAGGAGUCACUCAAGGUAAAACCGGUGAGAUUCGUGACUGGGGUG